ACGGUGCAGCGGCCUCCUGGAGAGGCGGCACCCCUGCCCUGAGUGGCCCUGGGUGAGUCACUCUGCCUGGGGCUGAUCCCGACCCACUCCCCGCUCCCUCUGUGCCCCCAGUCGUGACCUGCCUGCGUCUGUCCAGUGACCCACCUGGGCGCCCCGGCGCACUCCUGCAGGCGCCUGGCCCGGGCAGGAGGGCAAGUCCAUCCGCGGGUCCCCGCCAGGACGCCUCCUCAGUGGGCUGCGCCGGAGGCUUCGUUUCAGGGUGUGAUGGCCCCUCGAUUAAGAGCUCUAGGAAACGCUGCCACGAAUGGUGCCUGGGAGCCGCUGUCAAGCUGCCUCUGCGAUCAUGGGGUCUGAGAAGAGAUUCUUCGGGAUCAGGCUUCGGGCCUCAUUUCGUUUAUUAGUUCCAACAGGAGGUUGUUCAUUUGGUGGCAUCUCUGGGGUUUUGUCCGUGUAAGAUAAUGUCAUCCGCAAACAGAGAUUUUACUUCCCCCUUUCUAAUUUGGACACCUGUUCUUUCCUUCUUGCCUGACUGCGCUGGCUGAUGUCUGGCCUUUGAAGCAGCUGGGGAGCAGUACUCUUGUAUUCUUCAGAAAGAGGAGAGGAGAGAGAAACCCAACGGGAACUGGGUGACGAUUGAAUUCAGUAGUGAGAUGCCCGGAGGACGCAGCUGAUUCACCUGAGUGAGUCAGCCAGUGGUCUGAGUCUUGCGAAAGCAUAAGUGAAUGUAUGUGUGUAGUUGAAUGCGCAUGCCAGGAAGAAAACAUUUAUUUGGACAAAGGGAAAGCUGACUUACGCCUUAGUGAAAGCUCUCUUCUCAGCCUCUGAGUGGCACCAACGGCAUAAUGACCAGCAUCCAGCAAGCACCUACUGAGUGACCCUGGCGAGCCAGGCCGACCUGACUCCUGAAACUGACACUACAGGGAGGCCAGUUUGUCUCCCUUCUGUCCCUCAAGGAUGGGUGGUGAAAACGGAAGAGCUGAAUACCAUACUGCCACAGUGCUCUUGUGAAUAAUGCUGCUAGGAACAUGGGUGUGCAACCAUCUCUUCAGGAUCCUGCUUUCAAUCCUUUUGGAUCUCGAGUGGAACGAGAAACAGCUUUGCCACAGCGGGUCCUACCAGGAUCCUCAUAAUCCACUCCUUGGGAAACCAGCACCAUCAAAGACCUGUCAUUGUGGAAGCACUAUCUGCCCCCCAGGGGACGGAUCUGUGAUUCGGAGGAGCAGCAGGGGCUGACUCUCAGCUCCAGCCUGGCCAACACCAGGAGCUCCUCCUCCUGAAUCCCUUUCUUUAUCCGCCUGUUUCACCUCCUGAGUCCCCAGCAACUGCACAAACGUCUACACUGCAUGGCGACUUCAGGCAUUAGUUCUUUGACAGUUUAACCAACAGCCCUCAACGUGGAGGAUUCA
Molecule: long non-coding RNA, 1406 nt
Filed under: Equus asinus (donkey)
Lineage: Eukaryota; Metazoa; Chordata; Mammalia; Perissodactyla; Equidae
Description: lncRNA (ENSEASG00005028537.1)
Source: RNAcentral